GGCUCAGAUUGAACGCUGGCGGCAUGCUUUACACAUGCAAGUCGAACGGCAGCGCGGGGCAACCUGGCGGCGAGUGGCGAACGGGUGAGUAAUAUAUCGGAACGUACCCAGAAGUGGGGGAUAACGUAGCGAAAGUUACGCUAAUACCGCAUACGAUCUACGGAUGAAAGUGGGGGACCUUCGGGCCUCAUGCUUUUGGAGCGGCCGAUAUCUGAUUAGCUAGUUGGUAGGGUAAAGGCCUACCAAGGCGACGAUCAGUAGCUGGUCUGAGAGGACGACCAGCCACACUGGAACUGAGACACGGUCCAGACUCCUACGGGAGGCAGCAGUGGGGAAUUUUGGACAAUGGGCGCAAGCCUGAUCCAGCAAUGCCGCGUGAGUGAAGAAGGCCUUCGGGUUGUAAAGCUCUUUUGUCAGGGAAGAAACGGUUGG
This 432-nucleotide ribosomal RNA is filed under the name Massilia sp. RNAcentral's name for it is "bacterial SSU rRNA". It matches the Rfam family "Bacterial small subunit ribosomal RNA", at positions 21 to 457 of the family's 1533-position model. Lineage: Bacteria; Pseudomonadati; Pseudomonadota; Betaproteobacteria; Burkholderiales; Oxalobacteraceae. The record is from RNAcentral.